CCUACGGGGGGCAGCAGUGGGGAAUAUUGCACAAUGGGGGAAACCCUGAUGCAGCGACGCCGCGUGAGUGAAGAAGUAAUUCGUUACGUAAAGCUCUAUCAGCAGGGAAGAAAAUGCCGGUACCUGAGUAAGAAGCCCCGGCUAACUACGUGCCAGCAGCCGCGGUAAUACGUAGGGGGCCAGCGUUAUCCGGAUUUACUGGGUGUAAAGGGAGCGUAGACGGUGCGCCAAGUCUGGAGUUAAAGGCCGCAGCUUAACUGCGGGACUGCUUUUGAAACUGGCGAACUAGAGUGCGGGAGGGGUAAGCGGAAUGCGUGGUGUAGCGGUGAAAUGCGUAGAUAUUAGGAGGAACACCGAUGGCGAAGGCAGCUUACUGGACCGUAACUGACGUUGAGGCUCGAAAGCGUGGGGAGCAAACAGGAUUAGAUACCCGUGUAGUC
RNAcentral lists this ribosomal RNA (440 nucleotides) under uncultured bacterium. Its description in RNAcentral is "partial 16S ribosomal RNA". It matches the Rfam family "Bacterial small subunit ribosomal RNA", at positions 338 to 795 of the family's 1533-position model. The record is from RNAcentral.